ACCCAAAUAUUAUUUUAAGGGUUUCCUUAAUGUCACUAUGAAUACCCAAUAACUUCUCUCUAAGAUCUCCAUCAACCGCUGACGUCCGAACAAGAACCGAAUCAAAAUCAAACCAAUGGCAUCGUCAUCAUCUUCUUUUUCUAAAGUUUUGAUUCUUAUAAAUGAUGAUUUGGAGGAACAACUUACGGGAAGCAGGUAACCCCUGGAUUUCGUCCAUGAACUCCUCCGUGUUAUUGAUGUGACCCAAUUUGAGUUUACUUUACACUGAAUUGAAGUUAUUUGCAUGGAUUUUAACACUGAUUUUUACACUAAUCUUCUUAACUCAGUUUAAUGAUAUUAAU
Molecule: long non-coding RNA, 341 nt
Filed under: Helianthus annuus (common sunflower)
Lineage: Eukaryota; Viridiplantae; Streptophyta; Magnoliopsida; Asterales; Asteraceae
Description: hypothetical non coding rna
Source: RNAcentral